AUUGAACGCUGGCGGCAGGCCUAACACAUGCAAGUCGAGCGAGCGGCGGACGGGUGAGUAAUGUAUGGGGACUGCCCGAUAGAGGGGGAUAACUACUGGAAACGGUGGCUAAUACCGCAUACUAUCGGAUAACCCAUAUGGUAUUAGCUAGUAGGUGGGGUAAAGGCUCACCUAGGCGACGAUCUCUAGCUGGUCUGAGAGGAUGAUCAGCCAGACUGGGACUGAGACACGGCCCAGAGUCCAACGGAGGCAGCAGUGGGGAAUAUUGCACAAGGGGCGCAAGCCUGAUGCAGACAUGCGGCGUGUAUGAAGAAGGCCUUAGGGUUGUAAAGUACUUUCAGCGGGGAGGCGUUAGAGGAAGAAGAAGCACCGGCUAACUCCGUGCCAGCAGCCGCGGUAAUUG
RNAcentral lists this ribosomal RNA (403 nucleotides) under uncultured bacterium. RNAcentral's name for it is "partial 16S ribosomal RNA". It matches the Rfam family "Bacterial small subunit ribosomal RNA", at positions 29 to 527 of the family's 1533-position model. The record is from RNAcentral.